RNAcentral lists this ribosomal RNA (497 nucleotides) under uncultured bacterium. RNAcentral describes it as "partial 16S ribosomal RNA". It matches the Rfam family "Bacterial small subunit ribosomal RNA", at positions 28 to 507 of the family's 1533-position model. The record is from RNAcentral.
GAUGAACGCUGGCGGCGUGCCUAAUACAUGCAAGUCGAGCGAACGGACGAGAAGCUUGCUUCUCUGAUGUUAGCGGCGGACGGGUGAGUAACACGUGGAUAACCUACCUAUAAGACUGGGAUAACUUCGGGAAACCGGAGCUAAUACCGGAUAAUAUUUUGAACCGCAUGGUUCAAAAGUGAAAGACGGUCUUGCUGUCACUUAUAGAUGGAUCCGCGCUGCAUUAGCUAGUUGGUAAGGUAACGGCUUACCAAGGCAACGAUGCAUAGCCGACCUGAGAGGGUGAUCGGCCACCCUGGAAGUGAGACACCGUCCAGACUCCUACGGGAGGCAGCAGUAGGGAAUCUUCCGCAAUGGGCGGAAGACUGCCGGAGCAACGCCGCGUGAGUGAUGCAGGUCUUCGGAUCGUAAAACUAUGUUAUUAGGGAAGACCAUAUGUGUAAGUAACUGUGAACAUCUUGACGGUACCUAAUCAGAAAGCCACGGCUAACUACGUG